UUAAUUUCAGGAGUCAGUUUUUGUACAUUUAUGUGAUUUGAACUUAUGCUACUUAAAAAUUAAGCUAUAGUUUCUCUUCGCUAUUGUGUUCGCCAUAGUGUAGGGUAAUUAAAAGUGCAACUUAUUAGCUUUGUUUAACAUAAACUGCACAUAUGUAGCUACUUCUACAUUUCCUCAUGUACUUUCGAUAUAAGUUUCAGCAUAUUAUAUAUGUUUUUGUAGUGUAAUGUUUUACUUCUCCAUUUGAAUCUCUUUUAAAGUUGUGAGGCCAUUUCAACUUGCAGGUUUUAGCUCAUUUAGAAACUGAUCUUCUCUCUGUCUCAUUUGGAAAUGAUUAUCAUCAAGAUGGCCACCUCUCACCGCGUGCGUCCGGCAGCAGCCAGUAUUUGUUCAGGCAUGUCACCUCCUGGAGCCCUGGACUCAACAUGGAUCGAUCUGGGCAGUAGUCUUUUUCAGAUCAGGUUCGGGAGCUUCUCCAAGACUUCCGAUUCCUAUAUACCAGAGUAGGAAGUAUGGUUUCUUUAUUAUGGACUGCUGCAACACAUAAUAAUGUUUUGUGGAGACUGCUGUUGUUACCUGUUAUGAAAUGGUUGUACAAAAAUCGUUUCACUCGCAGCAUACUUCUCUCUGAGGUGAUGUUCUAAGGCCAGGACGGAAUCGUCAGAGAAAUAGUUAGUGCUGGCUUUAAGAAAAUUAAAGAGAUGUUCUUCCGAAUUAA
Molecule: long non-coding RNA, 718 nt
Organism: Lolium rigidum
Lineage: Eukaryota; Viridiplantae; Streptophyta; Magnoliopsida; Poales; Poaceae
Exons: 2
Source: RefSeq, a predicted model, not a curated record